Molecule: RNase P RNA, 438 nt
Filed under: Verrucomicrobiaceae bacterium
Lineage: Bacteria; Pseudomonadati; Verrucomicrobiota; Verrucomicrobiia; Verrucomicrobiales; Verrucomicrobiaceae
Description: RNase P RNA component class A
Rfam family: Bacterial RNase P class A
About the family: Ribonuclease P (RNase P) is a ubiquitous endoribonuclease, found in archaea, bacteria and eukarya as well as chloroplasts and mitochondria.
Source: RNAcentral
CGGUCCAGCCGGAGUGAUCGCUCGCUUUUGAACCGCAAGGGGAGAUGGCGGGAGGAAAGUCCGGACACCACAAGGCAGCAUGCCAUGCGCAAGCAUGGGGGGCGUGGCGCAAGCGACGUUCACAGACAGUGUCACAGAAAACAAACCGCCUCCGCGCAAGCGGCGGCAAGGGUGAAACGGCGGGGUAAGAGCCCACCGCCCCGACCGCGAGGAAGGGGGCACGACAAACCUCAUGCGGUGCAAGACAGAACAGGGGAAACGGCCCGCCUGGCCGCAAGUCCCGCUCGAAAGGGCGGGAUGGAUAGCUCCGGGUAAUAGUCGCACGGCCACCGCAAGGUGGAGGCGGUUCGGUCGCUCGAACCGACAGAUAAAUGAUCACAGCAAGGUGCCGCAAGGCAUCGAGACACAGAAUCCGGCUUAUGAGGGCUGGGCCAUCAU